UUUCAUCUCUCUGAUAUCUGUGUUUCUUAAGUCUCUUUGGUUCUCUAUUUCUUCUCUUCUACCAUUCUUUUCGUGUCGUGCGAGGGAACCAUCGAGUCUGCCUGGUAGUCUUCUCCUCCUCCGCGUUCCGUUCCCUUCUCCGCGCUCCGCCUCGAUCGCGCCGUUCGGCAAGAGAGGUAUAGGGCAGAACCAAUGGUACUCUGAAAUUUGAAGUAUGGACUUCUUUAUUCACUAUCUUGGAUUACUGAGACCCAAUAUGUAUUGCACUAUUUUGAACUACCAUUGGAGUGGUAUAAGGUUAUGGGAUGAAGUGGGUCAGAAUAUUUCCAUCUGAUUUGUAUUUGUGUUGGAGUAGCACCAGGUAUGGUUGCAUAUAAGUGUGUCAAUCAUGUAUCCAUCUAUGCAUCCGCUUUUGCUUUUCAAAUUUUCUGAAUGUAGAUACAGUCUGUAUUAUUUUAUUUGAACUAGGAUAUCCAAAUAUGUGAAUAUAUUAAUGUGUUAAUUGUACUUGUAUUAAAAUUAGAAAAGAUGUUAUUUGAUUAAUUUUUCUAGUACAGUUGUUUUCUUUUUCAUAUUUGUUUUCAUUUUUUUUUUCCAAUAGAUAUAAUUUGAUAGGUUUGUCUUUGAGAAAGUGUCUUUGUUGUUGGUACUUGGUAGCUUUAGGUAAUGUUCAUAUCUACAUCCAGCUUAUAUGCUAUCUGAAUCUAUUUUUGCCAUACAUCUAAUUCAUAUCUAUGUCUAUCUUAAACAAACACGGUUUUAUAUUUUAGCAUCUAUUAAGUAUUUGUAAUGAAAUUUGUGUCCACUAAUUAAAAGUUGAUAUGGAAUUGAUUAUUUCAGUGCAUUGCCACAUUCAAUAUUUUUCAACUGUAAUAAAGGUCGGUGUAAGUCAUGUGACAAAGAAUAAUUAAUGUGUUGUGAAUAAUUUAGAUAGUUUGUCUUAUAUAAUGGUGUAAGUCAUGUGACAAAGAAUAAUUAAUGUGUUGUGAAUAAUUCAGAUAGUUUGUCUUAUAUAAUUUGUAUCAUAAUGUGUCAAUCCUAAAUUUAUCUGGUUGGUUUAUUGUGCUUUAAUACAUCAAAUCUCAAAUGUGGUAAGGGUCCUUUUUUUAAUGUCUAAAGCUGACUAUGUGUUUUUACUUUUUUCAUAUGACUUGCAAACCACAAUCCAAUUGAUCAAACAUCAGUUACAAUUGGCAUCCUCCUCUUUCAAGAAAACCACCAUGCAAUGUUUAUGGUUUCGCAGAUACUUAUUUUGGAAGGAGAAAGUUUAACAUAUGCUUGAGGGAGAUUAAUUGUUUAUUAAUUUUACUAGGGUUAGCCUAGCUGUAAGGGGAUUAUGAUCUUGUCUUUUGUUAGCUUAUCAAAUAGGCAAAAACCUAUCUUCCUUGUGUAAGGAUCAAUUGAAGUGGAGAUCUUAUAUACGGGUUAUGCAGGACCAUUUCAAUUUAUUUUUAUUUGAACAAGAAAUAUUAGUUUAUGUGAAGAAGCUUAUAAACUAAAUAAAACUAAGGAUUGUUUGAAAAGGGAAGCUAAAUAAAACUAAGGAAUGUGACAAAACUUAGGAUUGUUUGAACUUUGAAGACUCCAUUCUAUAUAAAGAAGCUUCAUCAUGAUUGAAGAAUCUACAAGUACGGAAGCUUAUCAAUUUUUUUUUUAAAAAGCAUGAUUAUUUGUUCUUGUAUUUAGGGAUUCAUCACAAGAGAGAAGGGUCACGACUUGAAAUAGAAUACAAUGGAUUAAUGAAUAAAUUAUGUUUUCCUACAUUAUAUGCAAGUGGUGUGUGAUGAUAUCUUUUUUGUUCUAAUGGCACGAUUUUAUCAUUUAUGUGGUGCUGUGGAAUUUCAUUCAUAGAAGUUAUUCCUUGAGUUGCCUUUUGUUUAGUAUUUAUCUUGUUCCUUCUUUCAUUUGAUCUUAUAUAUUUUUUUUAAUUCCACAACUAUCAAAUCCUAGAACGAAAUAUUACUUUGGUCUAUUUAUGCAAACCUACAUCAAAGAGUCUUGUCUAUUUAGAUGUUUCAUUUCAUUUUCUGUAUGUACCAUCUUGAAUGUUUACAUUUUAUUA
This is a non-coding RNA of Musa acuminata subsp. malaccensis (wild Malaysian banana), 2062 nucleotides long. Lineage: Eukaryota; Viridiplantae; Streptophyta; Magnoliopsida; Zingiberales; Musaceae. The record is from RefSeq and is a predicted model, not a curated record.